Molecule: ribosomal RNA, 255 nt
Filed under: uncultured bacterium
Lineage: Bacteria
Description: partial 16S ribosomal RNA
Rfam family: Bacterial small subunit ribosomal RNA
Source: RNAcentral
UACAGAGGCCCCGAGCGUUUAUCCGGAAUCAUUGGGCGUAAAGGGUGUCGAGGCGGUCAUGUUAGUCUUCCGUAAAAUCCAGGAGCUCAACUUCUGGCCCGCGGGAGAAACGGCAUGACUUGAGGUUGGAAGAGGUGCGUGGAACUCACGGUGUAGGGGUGAAAUCCGUUGAUAUCGUGGGGAACACCAAAGGCGAAGGCAGCGCACUGGUCCAAAUCUGACGCUCACACACGAAAAGCCAGGGUAGCGAAUGGG